Molecule: ribosomal RNA, 253 nt
Filed under: uncultured bacterium
Lineage: Bacteria
Description: partial 16S ribosomal RNA
Rfam family: Bacterial small subunit ribosomal RNA
Source: RNAcentral
UACGUAGGGUGCGAGCGUUGUCCGGAAUUAUUGGGCGUAAAGAGCUCGUAGGCGGUCUGUCGCGUCGAAUGUGAAAACCCGGGGCUCAACUCCGGGCUUGCAUUCGAUACGGGCAGGCUAGAGUUCGGUAGGGGAGUCUGGAAUUCCUGGUGUAGCGGUGAAAUGCGCAGAUAUCAGGAGGAACACCGGUGGCGAAGGCGGUUCUCUGGGCCUGUACUGACGCUGAGGAACGAAAGCGUGGGGAGCGAACAGG